This 253-nucleotide ribosomal RNA is filed under the name uncultured bacterium. RNAcentral describes it as "partial 16S ribosomal RNA". It matches the Rfam family "Bacterial small subunit ribosomal RNA", at positions 524 to 776 of the family's 1533-position model. The record is from RNAcentral.
UACGUAGGGGGCAAGCGUUGUCCGGAAUCAUUGGGCGUAAAGGGCGUGUAGGCGGCCCGGUAAGUCCGCUGUGAAAGUCCAGGGCUCAACCCUGGGAUGCCGGUGGAUACUGUCGGGCUCGAGUCCGGAAGAGGAGUGUGGAAUUCCUGGUGUAGCGGUGAAAUGCGCAGAUAUCAGGAAGAACACCCGUGGCGAAGGCGGCUCUCUGGGACGGUACUGACGCUGAGACGCGAAAGCGUGGGGAGCGAACAGG